UACGGGGGGAGCAAGCGUUGUUCGGACUUACUGGGCGUAAAGGGCGCGUAGGCGGCCCGGUAAGUAGGGGGUGAAAUCUUGCGGCUCAACCGCAAGGCUGCCUUCUAAACUGCCAGGCUCGAGCACAGUAGAGGCAGGUGGAAUUCCCGGUGUAGCGGUGGAAUGCGUAGAGAUCGGGAAGAACAUCGGUGGCGAAGGCGGCCUGCUGGGCUGUUGCUGACGCUGAGGCGCGACAGCGUGGGGAGCAAACAGG
Molecule: ribosomal RNA, 253 nt
Filed under: uncultured bacterium
Lineage: Bacteria
Description: partial 16S ribosomal RNA
Rfam family: Bacterial small subunit ribosomal RNA
Source: RNAcentral